AGCUGAAUCUGAAUGGGCAGGAAACUGAGUGAAGUACUUCACACUGCAUGCUAAGGAGAAUAAAUGCCAAUCCCAUUCAAAUCUUUGCAGUUUUGACAGUUUUUAUGCACAAACUACGCAUUCAGAAUGUCUUUGAAAAUCCAGCCCUGUGACUCUGAGUGUAAAAGUAAGAAAAGUCAGUCAUCUCUCUGUCAGGAUGAAGUGUCAAAAUCUGAUAAGCAGAAACCCGACAAUGCAAGAUACAGUCAGGCCUGGAGGGAUCGUUUGAAAAAAGACCCUGUAAAAUUUGCUGAAUUCAAAGCUUUUGAAGCUGCAAGAGCAAGAGAGUAUAGAAGAAAGAGGACUGCUACUGCUAUAGAAAUUGAUAAGGAUAAUAAUUGUGAGCGACAGAGAAGAUUCAGAACCAAAAAGAAGUUACAGCAGUGUAAAGCUGAUGAUAACCCGCCACCUAAAAAAACAAAAGUCUUAACAGAAGAAGAGAGGAUGAAGAAACGAGAGUAUGAUAGGAUAAAGAAAAGAGAAGAGAGAGAGAGGAUGGGAGCAGAGAAGAAAAGACAAAUUCGUGAAAGAGAUGCGUCACGAAAGAGGGAAAAAAGAAACAAGGCAAAAAAUCUUCCUGACACUCCACAUACAAAUGUUGCCUCUAAAUCGUACAGCUGGACCUAAAUCUGCAAAACGGAUGGCACUGUUACAGAUGAGGGGAAAAAAUCCGGCUGAUGCAGAAAAGUUGGACAUUGUAACAGACUUCAUCCAUUGCUGUACUCAUAAACAAGCAACUUUGAAAGCUAGAGGUCUGAAAAAACUUGACGGUGAAUAGAUUUUGAUGACCCACUUCAAAAAGAACUUCAAUCCACAAUUGAAGCUCUAUAGAAGGAUACUGCAUCCUUGGAGAAGCGGAGCCUGAUUGUCACUAGUUUGCUGGUUGCCACAAAGUACAGAAUGCAACAAAUUUUAGCAAAGACGCUUUAAUCUUCAUCCAGUAUAUCUCACUAAAUUAUCAAAGUCCUCAUCCAGUGAAAGUUUACAUAAAAAAACAAAGGUCUGAUGUCACUUACAUGGAUGUUGCAAACAAUAGUUGCUUUCUAUCGUAAUCACAAGAACUUCCUUACAUGAGGACAGUAAAGAAACAGCAACAAAGAUUCCUCAUGAAGAUCUCUCUACAGAAGGCCUAUGAAGUCUGGAAGCUGGAAAAUCCAGAAAAUAAAUGUUGCAUCCUUUCCUGUUUUCUCAUA
Molecule: long non-coding RNA, 1232 nt
Organism: Onychostoma macrolepis
Lineage: Eukaryota; Metazoa; Chordata; Actinopteri; Cypriniformes; Cyprinidae
Exons: 2
Source: RefSeq, a predicted model, not a curated record